GGGUUACCGCCUUCGGGCACACCCCCACCCUUUGUAACUGCGGCCCGGAUUCGGCGCCUGGCGGGGACCACCCUCCGUUCGCGGGGGGCCCCGCCUGCCGGAAUUAGCCAACCCUGCCUAGAAAAUUGAAGUCUGAGAACAAGUCAAAUGAAACAAAACUUUCAACAACGGAUCUCUUGGUUCU
RNAcentral lists this unclassified non-coding RNA (184 nucleotides) under rhizosphere metagenome. RNAcentral's name for it is "partial ribosomal RNA internal transcribed spacer region". The record is from RNAcentral.